CCUGAGAAACCCAAAAGAUCGAAUGGGGAGAUUCAUCGCCAGCGAGCCCGGCACGUGUACGGUUCGCGAUGCCGCAAGACUUCGGUCUUGCGGCACGCGUCCGUAUGGUUUUUUUGCUAGGUUUCGUCGGCGUGCACUUCUCCCCUAGUAGGACGUCGCGACCCGUUGGGUGUCGGUCUACGGCCCGGUCGGGCGCCUGUCAUGUGUUAGGCUUAACGGCUUCAUGUGGCAGACCACCGGUUGUCUGACCAGCUGCUCGGCGGUACUCGCACGGUAUCGAGCCGCAGAUAUUCAAACUGCGUCCGGCCCGCCGCAAGCGAGGCCAGUGUUUCCCGGAUGUACGGACCUAGCGCCGUCACCGGGCCUGGCCGGCUGUUGGCUGGCGGUGUCCUGGGACUGGCUCUUAAAUUAUGAUACCGGUCGGCGACGCUACUGCUUUGGGUACUUUCAGGACCCGUCUUGAAACACGGACCAAGGAGUCUAACAUGUGCGCGAGUCAUUGGGAACUCAUAAGCCUAAAGGCGCAAUGAAAGUGAAGGUCGGCCCUGCGCCGACCGAGGGAGGAUGGGCCGCGUCACGAUGCGGUCCCGCACUCCCGGGGCGUCUCGUUCUCAUUGCGAGAAGAGGCGCACCCAGAGCGUACACGUUGGGACCCGAAAGAUG
Molecule: ribosomal RNA, 663 nt
Filed under: Spudaeus sp. NL526
Lineage: Eukaryota; Metazoa; Arthropoda; Insecta; Hymenoptera; Ichneumonidae
Description: eukaryotic LSU rRNA
Rfam family: Eukaryotic large subunit ribosomal RNA
Source: RNAcentral